GGAAGAUGUAACGGGGCUAAACUAUGCACCGAAGCUGCGGCAGCGACACUAUGUGUUGUUGGGUAGGGGAGCGUUCUGUAAGCCUGUGAAGGUGUGUCGUGAGGCAUGCUGGAGGUAUCAGAAGUGCGAAUGCUGACAUAAGUAACGAUAAAGCGGGUGAAAAGCCCGCUCGCCGGAAGACCAAGGGUUCCUGUCCAACGUUAAUCGGGGCAGGGUGAGUCGACCCCUAAGGCGAGGCCGAAAGGCGUAGUCGAUGGGAAACGGGUUAAUAUUCCCGUACUUGGUGUUACUGCGAAGGGGGGACGGAGAAGGCUAUGUUGGCCGGGCGACGGUUGUCCCGGUUUAAGCGUGUAGGUGUGUGUUCCAGGUAAAUCCGGUUCACUUUAACACUGAGGCGUGAUGACGAGGCACUACGGUGCUGAAGCAACAAAUGCCCUGCUUCCAGGAAAAGCCUCUAAGCAUCAGGUAACAUCAAAUCGUACCCCAAACCGACACAGGUGGUCAGGUAGAGAAUACCAAGGCGCUUGAGAGAACUCGGGUGAAGGAACUAGGCAAAAUGGUGCCGUAACUUCGGGAGAAGGCACGCUGACACGUAGGUGAAGUGAUUUACUCAUGGAGCUGAAGUCAGUCGAAGAUACCAGCUGGCUGCAACUGUUUAUUAAAAACACAGCACUGUGCAAACACGAAAGUGGACGUAUACGGUGUGACGCCUGCCCGGUGCCGGAAGGUUAAUUGAUGGGGUCAGCGCAAGCGAAGCUCCUGAUCGAAGCCCCGGUAAACGGCGGCCGUAACUAUAACGGUCCUAAGGUAGCGAAAUUCCUUGUCGGGUAAGUUCCGACCUGCACGAAUGGCGUAAUGAUGGCCAGGCUGUCUCCACCCGAGACUCAGUGAAAUUGAACUCGCUGUGAAGAUGCAGUGUACCCGCGGCAAGACGGAAAGACCCCGUGAACCUUUACUAUAGCUUGACACUGAACAUUGAGCCUUGAUGUGUAG
This 993-nucleotide ribosomal RNA is filed under the name Salmonella enterica. Its description in RNAcentral is "partial 23S ribosomal RNA". It matches the Rfam family "Bacterial large subunit ribosomal RNA", at positions 1165 to 2141 of the family's 2925-position model. Lineage: Bacteria; Pseudomonadati; Pseudomonadota; Gammaproteobacteria; Enterobacterales; Enterobacteriaceae. The record is from RNAcentral.